AUUAUUUUAAAUACAAUUAUAUCUUUGUGGGUGUAUUUUAUGGAAAUAAAUAAAUUGAGUUAAAAAAAAAUCAUCAAUUCACUUUUACGUGGCUUUAGUGGGAAUUGCCACAUUACACCUUUGUUGUCAUUCCUCAAACAUCAUGACCCCAAAGAAAUGGAGAGAACUCAGUGAAUAUGAAACCCCAAAGCCCAAAAAUUUUCUCCUCAAAGCUAUCUCGUAUCACUUUCCUUCUGCCGGCGUUCCGUCGCCGCCAUUCAUGCUGGUUGCACGAAUUGUCUUGUGUUCAGUUCAGCUUUUCAAUUUUCUCUCUCCUUGGUGUUGAUGCUGGUGGCUCGAAUUACCGUCGCUGCUGCCAUUUUUUCUCUCUCCACUAAUUUUCUUGGUGCUAAAGUUGCUGCCGAGUUAUUUCUUCAAAAUCGACAAUAUGCAAUGGGUUUUUGGAAAUAUAUGCUAAAUGAAAGUUGUAUAUCUCUUCGAGAUAUUCAAUUUGGAGUCAAAAAUCACUCAAUUCCGACUUGUGUACUAUAAGUUAUGCCUCUUGCAAGUUUUUGUUAUAUGAUGUUGUUUUCUCCCUCCUCUGCUGCGUUCUGUGAUGGGUCGGUGCCGCCGCUGUUGGUGGUUGUUGUUGCAACCAUUGUUUUGGUUGUUGAUGUUGCUUCUUGGGAUUGUUGUUUGGUGUUUUUCUCAUUCUUCAGAAUCUUGUUCACAUAAACCAUUGUUACAGGUAUUAGUUCAAUUUCCUCUUCUCCUAUCUUUCUUCUUUUAUUUAUAUUCAAAAAUCAGAUUUUUAUGAGGUUUUGUAGCUAUGAUUUUCUUAAUGGAUUAAGAUAAAAAUGUUGGUGUUGUUUGUCAAUUAGUUUGAAGAGUUGAACAGCAAAAUGGUUUUGGUCUUAAAUUGUUUAAAGACUUCCAUUAGUAGAAUAUUUUUGAAUCUGGGUAUAGAUUGCAUAAUCAAAUUGUGAACUGGAAGCUAACUAGUAUUUUUUUAAAAAGAGAAAUUAUUUAACAUCAUUAUUUCUAUAGAUAUUUAUCUAAUAAUAUGUUAUUGUGUUUAAAGAAAUCAGAUAACAAUCGAGUAUUUAUCAUACUCACUCUUAUUUUUAAGAAAUGAAGUGGUUAAGUCAUGGGUAUCUUCUGUAUCAUUAUUGAUUUUGAAAAAAAAAAAAAGUAUUUAAGUUAGUUUUGUUAGCAGAAGCUUAUGAUUGUAGGGCUCUCUUGGCAUUCUGUAAAUUGGCGAGUUAAGUUUUGAAAAUAGAGUAUCUUUUUCAUAUUGGAUAUAAGUUAUAAGUGAUACGACUUAUAGUAAGUUAUAGUUUCCUAGUGUUGAAUAGUUGGUUGAGUUUAGUUAGUAUAUAUAACAUGAGAUUGGGUUGAUUAUAAAUUGUUGUUAUUAUUGUUGUGAGGUGAUGGUUGGAGAUUGGUUAUGAAUUUGGAGAUAUUGUACUCUUGGAAAUUAUUAUGGAAUCGAACGUUAUUUGGGAGAAUAAAAGAGAGUUCAUUAUUAGAAAUUGUGCAGGCAAGCACGCUCCAGAAUGGAUUGAUGAUCGUUAGUUAUGGUAGGAGAGGUGUCCAGUUCAACCCGAGAUGGAAAUCAACGUUGUUGAAAAAUAUUCUUACAAUGUAUGAUUUUAUCUAUUGAGAGAUUUAAUUGGUUUAGACUUUGAAGUUGUAUAUACUAUUGUGGGCUGUCGUAUCGUGGCGAAAAAGAACUGGAAGUGUAUUUUUGAAUUAUAUUUUGCUGCA
Molecule: long non-coding RNA, 1746 nt
Organism: Beta vulgaris subsp. vulgaris (sugar beet)
Lineage: Eukaryota; Viridiplantae; Streptophyta; Magnoliopsida; Caryophyllales; Amaranthaceae
Exons: 2
Source: RefSeq, a predicted model, not a curated record